CCUUACCAGGUCUUGACAUCCUUAGACCACUAGAGAGAUAGAGCUUUCCUUUCGGGGACAAAGUGACAGGUGGUGCAUGGUUGUUGUCAGCUCGUGUCGUGAGAUGUUGGGUUAAGUCCCGCAACGAGCGCAACCCUUAUUACUAGUUGCCAGCAUUUAGUUGGGCACUCUAGUGAGACUGCCGGUGACAAACCGGAGGAAGGUGGGGAUGACGUCAAAUCAUCAUGCCCCUUAUGACCAGGGCUACACACGUGCUACAAUGGAUGGUACAAAGAGUCGCAAAGUCGCGAGGCCAAGCUAAUCUCUUAAAGCCAUUCUCAGUUCGGAUUGUAGUCUGCAACUCGC
This 345-nucleotide ribosomal RNA is filed under the name uncultured bacterium. RNAcentral describes it as "bacterial SSU rRNA". It matches the Rfam family "Bacterial small subunit ribosomal RNA", at positions 969 to 1315 of the family's 1533-position model. The record is from RNAcentral.